Molecule: long non-coding RNA, 814 nt
Organism: Scylla paramamosain (green mud crab)
Lineage: Eukaryota; Metazoa; Arthropoda; Malacostraca; Decapoda; Portunidae
Exons: 3
Source: RefSeq, a predicted model, not a curated record
GUACCGAGCUGCUUCGAAACAGCGAACCGAAGCGAAGCGGCUCACUCGUCACUCCCACUGAACUCCGGCCAGCCAUUGCCGUGCAGUGUGCUGUUAAGUGAAAGUGUGUGAAGGAAUGUGUGCGCUCUUGAGCAUUGGUUUGUGGCCAAGGUAAAAUAGUUCAGUGGAAACUCUACCUGAAGCCAGUUUUCAAUAGCCCAGCAGUUAUAAUGGGAUAUCCGCCGGCCUCCCAUCAGACUCCUUGACGUGAAGCGUGGCUGAUACGAUCGUGUACCCACACUGGGCUGCUGCAUUCGCACGCCAGUGAUUGCUACGGAGUCACUGCAGGACAGGACACAAAGCAGCUAACAAAAGAAUAUGACGGAGGAGCAAGACCCGAGUUUUCUUGCUUGAUUGUGACGGUGAGUGGUGGAGACGGAUGGACCCAAGCCCAGGUACGAAGAAAAACAGUCACAGUAAACGGAUUUAAUAGUGCUGGAAGAGGGUACGUGGAGCAGUGAGGAGAGUUUGAGAUCUACGUAGUAAGGGGAAGAAACAUUGAAAGCAGUAAGGGAAAAGGAAAAAGAAAUUCAAAAGAUGUAGUUGCAAUUUAAGGAAAAAAAUGAAAACAUGAACAUGAAAUCCAUUGCGUAUUUAAUUUCCACACUUCGCCUUGAAGUAACGCACUGCAGUGUUUCCUUAUUACAAAAGUCUGUUUUUUGGAAUCUACAUUGCCAUCUCGUAAUGGUUCGUGAGAUAUCAAAGAUUAUUGAUAAAUUUGCUUUUAGUGAUUUUUUAUGUGAAAUUUUCAAGCCCUGAGUCUUCUUUGUCUAGA